CCUACGGGAUGCUGCAGUCGAGAAUUAUUCACAAUGGGGGAAACCCUGAUGGUGCGACGCCGCGUGGGGGAAUGAAGGUCUUCGGAUUGUAAACCCCUGUCAUGUGGGAGCAAAUUAAAAAGAUAGUACCCCAAGAGGACGAGACGGCUAACUCUGUGCCAGCAGCCGCGGUAAUACAGAGGUCUCAAGCGUUGUUCGGAAUCACUGGGCGUAAAGCGUGCGUAGGCUGUUUCGUAAGUCGUGUGUGAAAGGCGCGGGCUCAAGCCGCGGACGGCACAUGAUACUGCGAGACUAGAGUAAUGGAGGGGGAACCGGAAGUCUCGGUGGAGCAGUGAAAUGCGUAGAUAUCGAGAGGAACACUCGUGGCGAAGGCGGGUUCCUGGACAUUAACUGACGCUGAGGCACGAAGGCCAGGGGAGCGAAAGGGAUUAGAUACCCUAGUAGUC
Molecule: ribosomal RNA, 446 nt
Filed under: uncultured bacterium
Lineage: Bacteria
Description: partial 16S ribosomal RNA
Rfam family: Bacterial small subunit ribosomal RNA
Source: RNAcentral